RNAcentral lists this long non-coding RNA (384 nucleotides) under Fukomys damarensis (Damara mole-rat). RNAcentral describes it as "lncRNA (ENSFDAG00000029829.1)". The record is from RNAcentral. Lineage: Eukaryota; Metazoa; Chordata; Mammalia; Rodentia; Bathyergidae.
AGUGCGGACAGGAAUGAAGCAUUGCUGAGUGUGCAGAAAGUAACUCCACAUGGAAGCUACCCUUUUUAUAGUUUCUUCUUCUGGAAAAUAUGUGUCAGCUUCCUCUGCGUCUCUCUGACUAUCACGUUCAUCAUAAACUUUCUGUUGUGUUAUGUGAAACAAUACCAGCACCUUCUGCUUGAAACAGAUAAAAAUGACAGGAUGAAAACCUGAUUCUGAGAAAAAAAACCUUCGGUUCAUUUGCAGAAUAGUAAAACAAUUUCAGCUGCUUCAAAGAUAAAAAUAUUGGAACAAAGAACACAUUUCUUCAUUUUUAUACAGAAUAAUUUUGAGUAUGCAAAUCUUUGAACGAGGCUCACAAUAAAAUUAACACCAUUAACUGAC